AUUUAUCUAAAGCCCAACAAGUAGAAACUAGGACCAUUUAUGAGACCAAACGCUCUCAAACAUCUACCUACGCGAAAUCGAUUCGCAGAGAGAAUCAAACAGCAAAUUCAUCUUGAAAGUUCUUUUGCUGUUUCUCGUCAAAAACAACCAAGAGCAUUCUUCAAUGGACGGUAACAUCCAACCACCGACGGAAUCGAAUCCCGAGACUGAUGAUCAAACUAUCGAAAUCGAUCCUUCAAGCACGGUUCUCGAUCUCACCAGCUUCCAGCUCCACAAUCUGGACUCAGUCGAGUUAUCUCAGGGUCUUACUGAGUUGGAUUUGACCGCGAA
RNAcentral lists this unclassified non-coding RNA (330 nucleotides) under Hevea brasiliensis (rubber tree). Lineage: Eukaryota; Viridiplantae; Streptophyta; Magnoliopsida; Malpighiales; Euphorbiaceae. The record is from RNAcentral.